GGGGGUGACUGGAUUAGAUGUAAUUAUUUUCUUAAAAAUUCAUGCCGAGUGAAAACUCGUAAAAUAUUAGGUUUUAUAUAAAUGCCGAAGACAAUUAUAACUACGCAAUAGCCGCUUAAGUUAUUGCAUGUAUUCCAAUUUUUCUUUAAUUUGAAAUACAUAAUUUAAAAGAUAUUUGUCACAUUUAUUAAGUUUUUUGUUGUGAUGGAUAAAACUAAAAAAACUAUUUAGUUUAUAAAUUAAUGUAAAGCUAAAAAAAAAAUAUUAAAUUAAAGCAUGUAUAAAAUUUUUAGGGCAAAAUAAUUGCAGACGUGGGUUCAACUCCCACCACCUCCAUUU
RNAcentral lists this transfer-messenger RNA (339 nucleotides) under Candidatus Riesia sp. It matches the Rfam family "transfer-messenger RNA". Rfam says of the family: Bacterial tmRNA, also known as 10Sa RNA or SsrA, is named for its dual tRNA and mRNA-like properties. Its role is to liberate the mRNA from a stalled ribosome. To accomplish this part of the tmRNA is used as a reading frame that ends in a translation stop signal. The record is from RNAcentral. Lineage: Bacteria; Pseudomonadati; Pseudomonadota; Gammaproteobacteria; Enterobacterales; Enterobacteriaceae.